GCGGCCGAUGGAGGUUGGUUGCUCGUGGCGCGGAUCGAAGUGUAGCCGAAUUGGGGAAUUCUCGCUCAAUGUGUUGGUGGCAAGGGAGUUUGAGGGUUUCAACUUUGAGCAAGGACGGAAUGGGUUGGCGGCUCGUGGCGCAAACCUGAGUGUGUGCAGUAGUUGGUAACUCCCACGAAAUGUGUGGUGUGAGACAGAGGUUGAGAAGGAGAGUUGGCACGGCCCGCCCAUGGUUGGGACUCGAGAAAAAGGAGUUAGAAUUUGGUACGUUCAUACGUGAAGUAUGUUCCAUUCGCGUGUUUUGUAGAAUGGGUAGUGAAAUUUAUUGUGUUUCCAUUGAAGUUAGUUCGCGCUAUGAAAUUAUCUGCUUCGGUGCUAGGAUACAUUGUGUUAAUUAUGCACCAUAUGGAAUGUUAGGAUGGUAUGACUCACAUAUAAAAUUAUAAAUUACUAGUGACCGUGUCAAGAGCCGGCAAUCAAAGUUUGUUUAGGGCCAGAAACAUAACAUGACAAUUAACCUUUACCUCAAAGUCUAGUGCAGCUCGACUUGCUGCACACAAAAAAGAAAGAAAAAGAAAAGUCAAUGCAAUGUUGUGGAAUGGAAGGAAGCAAUGUGGAGAGCCAGUAAUCUUGGCCAUCGGGCCUGGUUUUUUCGGGUGAGGCACGUGAAAAAAACACAGCCCACGGAACGGCACGGCACAGGCCAAAUUGUGCCGGGCCAGGCACGAAGACCACCUCGUGCCAGGCUUUUUCCUAAGAUGCGGCCUGUGGGCUGGCACGAGCACGGCACAGGAAUGAGCGCGCCACAGCACGAUCCGCACGAAAUCGCCCGGCACGGUACCGCACAAGAAAAUCGUAACCACAAACACUAGGCACGGUUUGCUAAUGAGCGGCACGAGAGCACGAUCCGUUUUUUGGGCCGUCCGUGCAACCCAAUCGUAAAAAAAAUUGGACAGCAACGAUACGAAGGCGAGUAAAUUACAGAAAACCACCACAUUAGGGGCU
This 1005-nucleotide long non-coding RNA is filed under the name Brachypodium distachyon (stiff brome). RNAcentral describes it as "long non-coding RNA (BDIS_LNC002817)". Lineage: Eukaryota; Viridiplantae; Streptophyta; Magnoliopsida; Poales; Poaceae. The record is from RNAcentral.